Non-coding RNA from Heterocephalus glaber (naked mole-rat), 297 nucleotides. The record is from Rfam. Lineage: Eukaryota; Metazoa; Chordata; Mammalia; Rodentia; Bathyergidae.
AGAUGUGAGGGUGAUCUGGCUGCGACAUCUGUCAUGCCAUUGAUCAUCAGGGUUGAUUCAGCUGAUCUGGCUAGCUAGGCGGGUGUCUCCUUCCUCCCUCACCACUCCACGUGCAUCCCUCUGGAAGCUGCUUUGGUCUAAGAGACCAACCACCCCCGACAGAUGACCACAGUCAAGGGUAUAUGAGUAGCUGUGCUCCCCUGCAGAACCUUCAAAUAAGCUCUCAAGACAGUCUCCACUCCGAAGAAUGAUCAGGCCCCAAAAUGUUAAUAGGGCUGAAGUUGAAUACCCUUCUGU